Long non-coding RNA from Saccoglossus kowalevskii, 437 nucleotides. RefSeq lists it as uncharacterized. The record is from RefSeq and is a predicted model, not a curated record. Lineage: Eukaryota; Metazoa; Hemichordata; Enteropneusta; Harrimaniidae.
CUUUGUGUUAACAAAUCGACUCAAUAGAACAGGAACGCAAAAAACAAUAACCACUGUCCGUAUAUCGCUGCUAAUCAUACUUCGUACUAUUGUCUGUGCAAUAUGAAGAAACUAGUGUUGCUUCUGGUCGUGUUACUCAUUGUGGCCAUGUUAAUUGAUGGUGGUACUUGUGGACGACGACGAAACUUCCGAUCAUUCACGGGCGACAUCGUUGAGAAAAAACAAGAUGACGAAAUACAAUUUAUAAACCAGGAUGAUAUUGUGUUACCUUCUGGACAGAACUUGAUCUCUGAUAAACGAGGUGAAGGCGAGAUACAGGCCUUGGAACCAUAACAAUACUCAUGUCUUUAUUGGUUUAAACAUACCUCGUUUACCUUGUAUAGUUUGUAGAUUCAAUCAAUAAAGUCUUGCUUCAUAAGCUGCAUCUUGUGCAUCAA